AUAUGACUGCAUGUAUAUAUGGUACUCACGGUGACACAGGAGACAGAUCCCUUCUCUGGUCGUUGCAGAAUGUCCAGCAGGGAGAGGACAAUGAGUCAUUUGUAGUUGCCAUGGAUGCUGUUGAACUGGGAGAACUGAACAAAGUUGUUCUUUUAAUCAGCAGUAAAGCAGACUGCAAACUGGAUGUUAAAAGAUUGCAUUUAAAGGAAGCUCUAAAGGAUAAUCCUAUCUAUGUAUUUGAAGUGAAUGAAGCAUUUUCUGUGGAUGCAAACAACCCUGAAAUACAGAAAGAAAUACCAGUAUCUUUUGUUAUUAAAGGAGACAAAAGGAAGAAUGGCAUAGAUAACAACUCACACAAAGAAGGAAGUCAAGCAAGAAAUCUGACAGAGUAUACUAUUAGAGUGUAUACAGGUGACAAAAGGGGAGCAGGAACUGAUGCCAAUGUGCAUAUUAUUUUAUUUGGAAAUGAAGACAAAUCUGAGGUGUUUCAGCUCUCUCAGCCACUGGAGCAUCAAGAUCCCUUUGAAAGAGGAAAGGUGAGGAUAUAAAUUUUAUAAGAUGUGUCCAUUUCUGGAUUGGGAAUAUAUACAUUAC
This is a long non-coding RNA of Struthio camelus australis, 594 nucleotides long. The record is from Ensembl. NCBI's taxonomy places the organism in Eukaryota, Metazoa, Chordata, Aves, Struthioniformes, Struthionidae.